CUUUCAUUGUCCUCAAAAAUAAAUUAAAAACACUACAUAUUACUUUUGACUAAUUUCUAUAUUUUUAUUUUCUUGUUAUUCAUAUAUUUUUACUAUGUUCUUCUCAUUAUAUUAUCAUAUCGUUUAUAAUCUAGGAUAUAUCCUCCUUCACAUAACAAUAUCAUUGAUUCAUCGUCAUAAAUUGAUAUUAUGAGUUAUGCAGAUGUGUAGACAUGCAUGCAAUGCUCUACACCAACAUUGUUUUAGCUAUACAGGUUGUCAACAAGUACUUCGCUCAAGGGCCAUGACAAACUCAAGAAAAACGGCCAAGUUCACCAAUUGAAAAAUAAAUAGUGUCUCCACAUCUAUAUGUCAUACAAAAAGAAUUGUAUCCGUCAAACUGAAUUAUUUUUUUCUCUCGGUAUAAGACUUUUAUCUCUAUAAAUGAAUUAAAAAGGAAGACUUCUACCGGAUAUUUUUGUAGGUAGUUUAGAACAUAUGAAAAAGCCAAUGAAAUGAUAAAUUUUAAUAGAAUUAAGCGGUCUCUUUCCAUAUAAUACAACGCGAAGCAUGGUUCAUGCCUUGUUGACCAUAAGUUACGAUUUAAAAUAUCAAUGUGGGUCAACAAGGAAUGGAGGCAUAAACUAGCCAGUGUUUAUCUAACAGGUAUAUGAAUCUUCUUUUGUUUUAGUAAGCAAAGGAGAUUGGCGAUUUUUCGGCGAUACGCGAACUAGGUUUCUCAACAUGACUUCGGCGCCGCCGCCAGACGCACCUUCUCCAUAUCAGCCAUUAAUAUUUUUUCUAUCUUUUUUUCUUUAAAAUGUGGCCAAUUUUUUUUUUUUUUUUGCAUCCAGCCACCGAAUUUCUAGGACCGGCUCUGGUGAUACUUGCUGCUAUACCACUCAGAACCUUAUAAAACUAGGUCUUCGAUCAUUUUACAUGUAAAUGUUUUGAGGUAUUAAAAAAAAAACAUGUAAAUGUUUUUGUAAUCUUUUUAUGAGUUGAUUUGAGCUGGUGGAGGAGCUGGCGGAGGAGCUGGGGGAGGAUUCGGUGGUGGUGCUGGUGGGGGUCACGGUGGAGGUGUUGGUGGAGGAUCAGGCGGAGGAUUUGGUGCUGGUGGUGGUGCCGGCGGAGGAGCUGGUGGAGGAUUCGGUGGUGGUGGUGGUGCCGGUGGAGGGUUUGGCGGUGGAUUUUAAAAUUUUAGUAAUUCAGUAUUCAUACAAAAUCUAUUCUUGGCUUGUACUAAGCUAGGGCUACUAGUUACUUAUGUACCAAGUCAUAUGAGAAGAAUGAUAUUUUUUUCUGAUUUACUUUGUAACGAUAACGAAAUUUUAAAUAUUUGAAACAUCUUCCAGUAUUCACAAUAUUUUUUCGUUGGCUAGUUAAUCUAAUUAAUCAGUCGGGAAAUUAUUUUAAAUUAUGAGAUAUGAUUAUAGUUUAGGUUACAUAUAUUAUAAAAAUGGAAAUUUAUCUUAUAUAAUGCGUGCAAACGACAUAAGAAUUUCCAAUCAGUCUACAAUCAUUUUAGAGUAGAACAAAAAGAGAGAAAACUAUUUCGUAUAGUGAAGAAAAGAUUGGGUUCUUCUUUCUUCAUAUGUUUUCUUCCAAGCCAAACGGGAGACACGCAUAAGAAGCUCUAAGAGUUUUGAUGAAGCCAAACAGGGAGCCAAGAAGUUCCAUCAAUAAAAUCAAUAGACAAGAAAGACUCAACUUCUUGUUUGGUCAGUUCUUUAGCCCAGUCUGAUCUACCUUGUCGCUCAGCACCUGGUCCAUGACACUUAUACUCCGCAUGGUAUAUAUCCCUGAUCAAAAGUCUCAACAGUAUUAGUAUAAACAUGAACAGUAAUAAGAUAUAAAUAAUAAUUAGAGACUAACUUGGUCGAGCCAUCGUAGCUCCAGUUGGUCCAACCGCUAGGGACAACGGUCUUGGACAAGUAAGUCUUGGCAAAGAUGACUCGAGAAUAAGGUCCCUUGGCACGGCCUAAGUAGACUUCAUCGAUUCCGUACACUUUGCCUCUUAUGAACACAUAACCUGUGUGUUCCUCUGCGUUUUCCCUGUGGUGUGCUGUGAUUGACCCAUACGGUUUCACCCUCUUGUCCGAUAUCACAAAUAUCUCACAAUUCUGUAACAAUUUUAUAAAAGGUAAAAGAAAGUGAGAUAAUAUAUUGGUGGUCAAUAUAUAUGUUAUGUUUUAGAGAAUGUGAAAAACGCACGUUGAAAAUGGAAGUUGCACGACCGAAGAUGAAGUCGAUGGAGCCUUGGAUGUAACACUCAUGGUAGUAAUGUCUACCUUUGUUAUCAAACAAAGUGUUGUGCAAGCUGUAGAACGCACAAUGGUAAAACGCAACUUUAUCAGCCGCCACAAACGCUGCCACCGAUUGAUUGUCAGACGUGAACGCCAGUCCGACCGGUGCAUCAUUCUGUAUAUUCAUCACACAGAUUCAUUAAGACACAAAUGUCAUGUACGUAAUCAAAAUCUACAAUUGUGUUAAUACAUACCCUGAUGCUGAUACCAAAAGCAACGAAGUGAUUAGCUUCGACUUUGAAAGUGGCUGAAGCAACAUUAUCGACAGCACUUUGCGAUGAUUCAAUGACUGUCUUUCCUCUUCCGUUGCCUCUCAUGAAUAUGAACGGCUUGUUCUCCGGAAUGUGCACUCUCUCCCUAUUUCCUCAAAAAAUAAUUAUCAAAAUUCAAAAUAAAUGUAUAUAUGUGACAAUAGUAAUGCAUAUAAUAUUACUAUAAAUAUAUGUAUGUUAUGUAACAUGAUUUGCGCGUAUGAAGUAAUGUAAAAGGUUAAGCGUAAGUAAACGUACUUGUAGAUUCCUUUACGGACAUGGACGAUAAUCCAAUUAGAGUUAUCAACAGGAACAGCAUCAAUGGCUUUUUGCACCGAAGUGUAGUCUCCUUUGCCUUCAAUAUCGACGAUGAUCGAUCUAUUUGUUGCUAUUUUUUCAGUCAGAAGCGGCGCGUCGAACUUCGUCUUUUGCAUUGCGGAUGCGUCCGAACCCCAUACGGACAUUGCAACCAGAGCUAGGACAAGGAUCAUUCUUGCUCGAUGAUCCAUUUUAUCUUUUGGGGUUUCUAGUUUUCUUUUUGGAAUGGGGAUAUGAGGAAGAUGUUAUAUGGUGAAGGAAGAGGUUAAAUUUAAGAAAACAGAUUUUUAAAUUUAGGGUGUUUCGUUGUGUUUGUUUUGUUUUGAGAGGUAAGGGCUUAAACAGGUUUUCUAGGCAACGUUUAUUUUUAGAUAUCUAUUAUUGAUUAAUGGGUGAAAAAUACUUCGAGAUAUAUAUAUAUUUCUAUCUUUGGUAACAAAGAAAUCAUUGUGGUAUAAAUCUUUCAUUGUCCUCAAAAAUAAAUUAAAAACACUACAUAUUACUUUUGACUAAUUUCUAUAUUUUUAUUUUCUUGUUAUUCAUAUAUUUUUACUAUGUUCUUCUCAUUAUAUUAUCAUAUCGUUUAUAAUCUAGGAUAUAUCCUCCUUCACAUAACAAUAUCAUUGAUUCAUCGUCAUAAAUUGAUAUUAUGAGUUAUGCAGAUGUGUAGACAUGCAUGCAAUGCUCUACACCAACAUUGUUUUAGCUAUACAGGUUGUCAACAAGUACUUCGCUCAAGGGCCAUGACAAACUCAAGAAAAACGGCCAAGUUCACCAAUUGAAAAAUAAAUAGUGUCUCCACAUCUAUAUGUCAUACAAAAAGAAUUGUAUCCGUCAAACUGAAUUAUUUUUUUCUCUCGGUAUAAGACUUUUAUCUCUAUAAAUGAAUUAAAAAGGAAGACUUCUACCGGAUAUUUUUGUAGGUAGUUUAGAACAUAUGAAAAAGCC
RNAcentral lists this long non-coding RNA (3802 nucleotides) under Brassica napus (rape). RNAcentral's name for it is "long non-coding RNA (BNAP_LNC027120)". Lineage: Eukaryota; Viridiplantae; Streptophyta; Magnoliopsida; Brassicales; Brassicaceae. The record is from RNAcentral.